AGUCAGCGAUCGGUAGCCGGACUGAGAGGUUGAUCGGCCACAUUGGGACUGAGAUACGGCCCAGACUCCUACGGGGGGCAGCAGUGGGGAAUAUUGCACAAUGGGGGAAACCCUGAUGCAGCAACGCCGCGUGAAGGAUGAAGGUUUUCGGAUUGUAAACUUCUUUGACCGGGGACGAAACAAAUGACGGUACCCGGAAAACAAGCCACGGCUAACUACGUGCCAGCAGCCGCGGUAAUACGUAGGUGGCGAGCGUUGUCCGGAAUUACUGGGUGUAAAGGGCGUGUAGGCGGGCCUGCAAGUCAGAUGUGAAAUUCCGGGGCUUAACCCCGGCGCUGCAUUUGAAACUGCGGGUCUUGAGUAUCGGAGAGGGAAGUGGAAUUCCUAGUGUAGCGGUGAAAUGCGUAGAUAUUAGGAGGAACACCAGUGGCGAAGGCGACUUUCUGGACGAUAACUGACGCUGAGGCGCGAAAGCGUGGGGAGCAAACAGGAUUAGAUA
Molecule: ribosomal RNA, 499 nt
Filed under: uncultured bacterium
Lineage: Bacteria
Description: bacterial SSU rRNA
Rfam family: Bacterial small subunit ribosomal RNA
Source: RNAcentral